AUUGAACGCUGGCGGCAUGCCUUACACAUGCAAGUCGAACGGCAGCGGGGGAGAAGCUUGCUUUUCCUGCCGUCGAGUGGCGUACGGGUGAGUAAUACAUCGGAACGUGCCCUGUAGGUGGGGAUACUAGUCGAAAGAUUAGCUAAUUCCGCAUACGACCUGAGGGCUAAAGGGGGGGACCGCAAGGCCUUCUGCUAUAGGAGCGGCCGAUGUCUGAUUAGCGAGUUGGUGGGGUAAAGGCCUACCAAGGCGACGAUCAGUAGCUGGUCUGAGAGGACGAUCAGCCACACUGGGACUGAGACACGGCCCAGACUCCUACGGGAGGCAGCAGUGGGGAAUUUUGGACAAUGGGCGAAAGCCUGAUCCAGCAAUGCCGCGUGUGUGAAGAAGGCCUUCGGGUUGUAAAGCACUUUUGUCUGGAAAGAAAUGGCUCUGGUUAAUACCUGGGGUCGAUGACGGUACCGGAAGAAUAAGGACCGGCUAACUACGUGCCAGCCGCCGCCGUAA
Molecule: ribosomal RNA, 507 nt
Filed under: uncultured bacterium
Lineage: Bacteria
Description: partial 16S ribosomal RNA
Rfam family: Bacterial small subunit ribosomal RNA
Source: RNAcentral